ACUCCUACGGGAGGCAGCAGUGGGGAAUAUUGGACAAUGGGCGAAAGCCUGAUCCAGCCAUGCCGCGUGUGUGAAGAAGGUCUUCGGAUUGUAAAGCACUUUAAAGUUGGGAGGAAGGGCAGUUACCUAAUACGUGAUUGUUUUGACGUUACCGACAGAAUAAGCACCGGCUAACUCUGUGCCAGCAGCCGCGGUAAUACAGAGGGUGCAAGCGUUAAUCGGAAUUACUGGGCGUAAAGCGCGCGUAGGUGGUUAGUUAAGUUGGAUGUGAAAUCCCCGGGGCUCAACCUGGGAACUGCAUUCAAAACUGACUGACUAGAGUAUGGUAGAGGGUGGUGGAAUUUCCUGUGUAGCGGUGAAAUGCGUAGAUAUAGGAAGGAACACCAGUGGCGAAGGCGACCACCUGGACUGAUACUGACACUGAGGUGCGAAAGCGUGGGGAGCAAACAGGAUUAGAUA
This 459-nucleotide ribosomal RNA is filed under the name uncultured bacterium. RNAcentral's name for it is "bacterial SSU rRNA". It matches the Rfam family "Bacterial small subunit ribosomal RNA", at positions 335 to 784 of the family's 1533-position model. The record is from RNAcentral.